UACAGAGGGUGCGAGCGUUAAUCGGAAUUACUGGGCGUAAAGGGUGCGUAGGUGGUUGCUUAAGUUGGGUGUGAAAGUCCUGGGCUUAACCUGGGGACUGCGCCUGAUACUGGGUAGCUAGAGUAUUGUAGAGGGGAGCGGAAUUUCCGGUGUAGCGGUGAAAUGCGUAGAUAUCGGAAGGAACAUCGGUGGCGAAGGCGGCUUUCUGGACAAAUACUGACACUGAGGCACGAAAGCAUGGGGAGCGAACAGG
This 253-nucleotide ribosomal RNA is filed under the name uncultured bacterium. RNAcentral describes it as "partial 16S ribosomal RNA". It matches the Rfam family "Bacterial small subunit ribosomal RNA", at positions 524 to 776 of the family's 1533-position model. The record is from RNAcentral.